RNAcentral lists this ribosomal RNA (468 nucleotides) under uncultured bacterium. Its description in RNAcentral is "partial 16S ribosomal RNA". It matches the Rfam family "Bacterial small subunit ribosomal RNA", at positions 28 to 507 of the family's 1533-position model. The record is from RNAcentral.
GACGAACGCUGGCGGCGUGCUUAACACAUGCAAGUCGAACGGAAAGGCCCUGCUUUUGUGGGGUGCUCGAGUGGCGAACGGGUGAGUAACACGUGAGUAACCUGCCCUUGACUUUGGGAUAACUUCAGGAAACUGGGGCUAAUACCGGAUAGGAGCUCCUGCUGCAUGGUGGGGGUUGGAAAGUUUCGGCGGUUGGGGAUGGACUCGCGGCUUAUCAGCUUGUUGGUGGGGUAGUGGCUUACCAAGGCUUUGACGGGUAGCCGGCCUGAGAGGGUGACCGGCCACAUUGGGCCUGCGAUACGGCCCAGACUCCUACGGGGGGCAGCAGUGGGGAAUAUUGCACAAUGGGCGGAAGCCUGAUGCGGCAACGCCGCGUGCGGGAUGACGGCCUUCGGGUUGUAAACCGCUUUCGCCUGUGACGAAGCGUGAGUGACGGUAAUGGGUAAAGAAGCACCGGCUAACUACGUG